This 690-nucleotide ribosomal RNA is filed under the name Triticum aestivum (bread wheat). RNAcentral describes it as "partial small subunit ribosomal RNA". Lineage: Eukaryota; Viridiplantae; Streptophyta; Magnoliopsida; Poales; Poaceae. The record is from RNAcentral.
AUGGAGACAGUUGGAAAGGUGAAGCACCCAAACCUUGUUCCCCUGCUUGGUUACUGUGUUUGUGGCGACGAGCGGUUCCUGAUCUAUGAGUACAUGGAGAAUGGGAGUCUGGAGAUAUGGCUGAGGAACCGAGCAGAUGCAGUAGAAGCACUUGGAUGGCCUGACCGUCUGAAGAUCUGCCUCGGUUCUGCCCAUGGGCUUGCUUUCCUUCAUGAAGGAUUUGUGCCUCAUAUCAUCCACCGGGACAUGAAAUCAAGCAACAUCCUGCUGGACGUGAACUUCGAGCCGAGGGUCUCUGACUUUGGCCUCGCAAGGAUAAUCAGCGCGUGCGAGACUCAUGUCAGCACCGACAUCGCCGGUACAUUUGGAUACAUCCCCCCAGAGUACGGGCAGACAAUGAAGUCCAGCACGAAAGGCGACGUGUACAGCUUUGGCGUUGGCGUCGUCAUGCUGGAGCUGCUUACAGGACGGCCACCUACAGGGCAAGAAGACUUGGAAGGUGGUGGGAACCUUGUCGGCUGGGUACGAUGGGUGAUCGCUCGCGGGACGAGGAACGAGCUGUUUGAUCCUUGCCUGCCAGUCUCAGGCGUGUGGCGGGAGCAGAUGGUGCGCGUGCUCGGCAUGGCCCUGGACUGCACGGCCAGCCGUGGAAGAGGCCAAGCAUGGUGGAGGUGGUCCAGGGGCGCAUAG